This 185-nucleotide ribosomal RNA is filed under the name uncultured bacterium. RNAcentral's name for it is "partial 16S ribosomal RNA". It matches the Rfam family "Bacterial small subunit ribosomal RNA", at positions 338 to 525 of the family's 1533-position model. The record is from RNAcentral.
UCUACGGGAGGCAGCAGUGGGGGAUAUUGCACAAUGGGCGCAAGCCUGAUGCAGCGACGCCGCGUGAGUGAAGAAGUAUUUCGGUAUGUAAAGCUCUAUCAGCAGGGAAGAAAGGCCCUUUUAGGGAGAUGACGGUACCUGACUAAGAAGCCCCGGCUAACUACGUGCCAGCAGCCGCGGUAAUA